Molecule: RNA transcript, 1406 nt
Organism: Olea europaea var. sylvestris
Lineage: Eukaryota; Viridiplantae; Streptophyta; Magnoliopsida; Lamiales; Oleaceae
Gene name: auxin-binding protein T85-like
Exons: 6
Source: RefSeq, a predicted model, not a curated record
AAAAAUAAUACAAGAACAAUUGUUCUACGUGAAUUUUGCCAAAUUUACACUUGGCGGAAUUUCAUUAGCGACGAAAAACAAUUUUAAUUCGUCAAAUCACGUGCUGGCAGAAUCCGUAAAUACUUAGGGUGGAAAGGAGAUGGAUGCCUGACUGCUGUGAGAAUAAUCAAUCCAUCCAGUUGCAGAGGCUGAGCAAAUUGUGGCAAAUAAACAUGGGCUUCUUUCACUACUUGGUUUUCUUGAUUGCACUUUUGUUUUUCGCCACUGUUGAAGUUAAUUCCCAUGGGGUUCCAAUAGUUAGGAAUAUAAAUGAACUUGCUCAGGAUAGUUAUGGAAUUCCUGGUUUGUCACACAUUACUGUUGCUGGUUCAGUUUUACACGGUUUUAAAGAGGUUGAAGUGUGGCUAGAGACAUUUGCUCCCGGAGCUGCCACGCCGAUCCACAGGCACUCAUGCGAGGAAGUCUUUGUGGUGCUUAAGGGAACUGGCACUCUAUAUCUUGCCUCGAAUUCAGAUCCAAAACACCCCGGGAGCCCGCAGGAGUUUCCAAUCUUAUCCAACAGUACCUUUCAUAUUCCUGUCAAUGAUGUUCAUCAGGCGCUGCAAGCUGAUAAAGAAGGAAUGACACAAAGGAAAGUAGUUCGAAAGGAUAACAAAUGAAUCAAGAAACAUUUAUAAAUACAACAGGAACAUUUCAAAAGGCAUUGAUUACCUUGAAGGAUGGCAUUGGAAAUUACAAGUCACUAGGUAGUUCAGUGGAAGGAAUAUCUGUUGCAUCAUAAAUAUAUACCAUCUAAAUUAAAGAAACUUCUGAGUAGCGAACAAGGGCGGUAACAUGAGAGAUUUUCAGAUAAAGAAUAUAACAGUUUUCCCUGGAACGGACAUGGUCUGGUUCUUGCAAGAUUCCAACCAGACAGGCAAUGAUUCGGCUUUGCACAUAGAGAACUGGCCAGUUUAUAGUGAAAGAGCAAAGCCGACCACAGUUCAUCAUUUUCUGGACUUGAGGCUUAAAAAUUGGACUACAUUAGGUCUGGAAUACUAAUGAAAGUGAGGAUCUACAGGUGUUAGUGAUCAUAUCUCGACCUCCAAUCAAAGCCCAAAUUGAAGUUCCCUAUUUUUUGGGAUGAAUACCAGACACAACCAGUGAAAGAUGAGCUUUAAAGGUUAGAAGGUUGAUUUACCAUCAUGCCUGAAUAAUGCCAUACCCACGUGAAAGAUUGCGACUGUAACAAAAUCUAUGUUUUGGAAUUCUUUGCAUCUUUUCUCGAGAACUAGUUGUGGUAAAUGUGCCUUGUAUGUUAUUUUUCAAGAGUUUUUAAAGUAUUGUAGGAACGUUAUUUUGAGAUGUUAUGUUAAGACUGAUUGAUGAUUAUAUUGCUUAUACAAGAUAUAUUGUCACGAGAAAAA